GUCUACGGCCGUGCUGCCCUGAACGUGCGGGACCUCAUCGGGUCUCGGGAGCUAAGCGGGGUCCGGCCUCGUUGAGUAUUUGGGUGGGAGGGGAUCGGGCUUCUGUUUCCACCUCUGGAACCUGAGGUACCACGGGUG
Molecule: ribosomal RNA, 138 nt
Filed under: Microcebus murinus (gray mouse lemur)
Lineage: Eukaryota; Metazoa; Chordata; Mammalia; Primates; Cheirogaleidae
Source: RNAcentral